AAUGGAGGGAACUCUGAACCAGCCAUCCCGCGUGCAGGAUGAAGGGGCUCUGCCCUGUAAACUGCUUUUGAAUGGGACGAAAAAGCCUCACUUGUGAGGAACUGACGGUACCAUUAGAAUAAGCACCGGCUAACUCCGUGCCAGCAGCCGCGGUAAUACGGAGGGUGCAAGCGUUAUCCGGAAUCACUGGGUUUAAAGGGUGCGUAGGCGGUUGUAUAAGUCAGUGGUGAAAGGCCGUAGCUUAACUAUGGGAUUGCCAUUGAUACUGUAUGACUUGAAUGAGGUUGAGGUUGGCGGAAUGUGGCAUGUAGCGGUGAAAUGCUUAGAUAUGCCAUGGAACAUCGAUUGCGAAGGCAGCUGACUGGACCUGAAUUGACGCUGAGGCACGAAAGCGUGGGGAGCGAA
RNAcentral lists this ribosomal RNA (405 nucleotides) under uncultured bacterium. Its description in RNAcentral is "bacterial SSU rRNA". It matches the Rfam family "Bacterial small subunit ribosomal RNA", at positions 370 to 772 of the family's 1533-position model. The record is from RNAcentral.